UUUUCCGUGUUGAAUCUUGUUAAAACAAGGAAAUUUGCGGAAUUACCAGUUUUGCCCGACCGAUCAUCCACGCAGCAAUGGCGUAAGACGUAUUGAUCUUUCAGGCAGUUAGCGGGCUGCGGGUUGCAGUCCUUACCGGUAAAUGGAAGCAACUCUGGAGAGUUUUCCCAGGCUGUUCCCCUGUUAAUUGCGCUGUGUUUGUCUCAACAACACAGGCAGCCGACACUCUGCGCCUCUUAAGCGAGCGACAACCGUGAGGUUGGCGACGUGAACAGACACGAGGCCAUCGGUUCACCCCCGGAAAGGCAUUACUCUGCCCGCAGCUUAGUCGUCAA
Non-coding RNA from Trabulsiella guamensis ATCC 49490, 335 nucleotides. The record is from Rfam. Lineage: Bacteria; Pseudomonadati; Pseudomonadota; Gammaproteobacteria; Enterobacterales; Enterobacteriaceae.